AGUUAAGGCUGUGUCACAAAAGGCCGGCUGUCAAAAGACCAAAACAGUGGAAACAGUCGGAGCUAGAUUUUACAUCUAAUCGUAUCUUCAAGCCAACACUUGCCGCGUGGUAAUGAUGUUCAAUGGUCUGAUACAAGUCAUCUUGGUCUUGUGGUUUGUAGCAACAUCCGAGAGUGACGUUUGCAGCGAAAACAUCUGUCAAUGCACCAAUUUCGGUAAGACUCGGCUUAUAGUAAAAUGCCGAGUUCACGGAUACAUAUCGACCGGAAUCCCAAGCAACACAAUAGAACUAGAUCUUUCAAGUUGUUCCUUGAACUCAAUUACAGAAGACAUCUUCAAGA
Stylophora pistillata is the source of this 341-nucleotide long non-coding RNA. NCBI's taxonomy places the organism in Eukaryota, Metazoa, Cnidaria, Anthozoa, Scleractinia, Pocilloporidae. The record is from RefSeq and is a predicted model, not a curated record.